Molecule: unclassified non-coding RNA, 343 nt
Filed under: soil metagenome
Description: partial contains 5.8S ribosomal RNA, internal transcribed spacer 2, and large subunit ribosomal RNA
Rfam family: 5.8S ribosomal RNA (bases 1-120)
Source: RNAcentral
GAUGACGAACGUAGCGAAAUGCGAUAAGUAAUGUGAAUUGCAGAAUUCAGUGAAUCAUCGAAUCUUUGAACGCACAUUGCGCCCGCUAGUAUUCUGGCGGGCAUGCCUGUCCGAGCGUCAUUUCAACCCUCAAGCCCCCGGGCUUGGUGUUGGGGAUCGGCGAGCCUCCGCGCCCGCCGUCCCCUAAAUCUAGUGGCGGUCUCGCUGUAGCUUCCUCUGCGUAGUAGCACACCUCGCACUGGGAAACAGCGCGGCCACGCCGUUAAACCCCCAACUUCUGAACGUUUGACCUCGGAUCAGGUAGGAAUACCCGCUGAACUUAAGCAUAUCAAUAAGCGGAGGA